CCACACAUUCAAAGAGUGCGUAAUAGCUCACUAGUCGAGAGGUCCUGCGCCGAAAAUGUCCGGGGCUAAAACACGACACCGAAGCUGUGGAAUGUAUAUUUAUAUACAUUGGUAGAGGAGCAUUCUUAACGCACAGAAGCAUUACCGUAAGGAGAUGUGGAGUGUUAAGAAGAGAGAAUGCCGGAAUGAGUAGCGAGAUGGAGGUGAGAAUCCUCCAGGCCGAAUAUCUAAGGUUUCCAGAGUAAAGCUGAUCUGCUCUGGGUAAGUCGGGGCCUAAGGCGAGGUCGAAAGACGUAGUCGAUGGACAACAGGUUGAAAUUCCUGUACCGCAUAUUAUCAGAACUGUGGGGACACAGAACCGAAGAAGAACCCGGGAAUGAAAAGACCGGGGCAAGCACUGGACUGGCUGGAAUGGCAAAUCCACCCAGCAACAGGAAGGUGUGACGCGUACCGAACAUAAGUAGGGAAGUCUUCGUAGGGGCUGUCAAGAAAAGCCGCUAUUGUGUAAUAUGUGCCCGUACCGUAAACCGACACAGGUGGAUGAGGAGAGAAUCCUAAGGCCGGCGGGAGAAGCAUUGUUAAGGAACUCGGCAAAAUGACCCCGUAACUUCGGGAUAAGGGGUGCCUGGGAAACCAGGCCGCAGAGAAUAGGCUCAAGCAACUGUUUAGCAAAAACACAGGUCUAUGCAAAACCGAAAGGUGAGGUAUAUGGGCUGACGCCUGCCCGGUGCUGGAAGGUUACGAGGAGGGGUUAGCGGCAACGCGAAGCUCUGAAUUUAAGCCCCAGUAAACGGCGGCC
This 799-nucleotide ribosomal RNA is filed under the name Lacrimispora sphenoides. Its description in RNAcentral is "bacterial LSU rRNA". It matches the Rfam family "Bacterial large subunit ribosomal RNA", at positions 1116 to 1935 of the family's 2925-position model. Lineage: Bacteria; Bacillati; Bacillota; Clostridia; Lachnospirales; Lachnospiraceae. The record is from RNAcentral.